This 460-nucleotide ribosomal RNA is filed under the name uncultured bacterium. RNAcentral describes it as "partial 16S ribosomal RNA". It matches the Rfam family "Bacterial small subunit ribosomal RNA", at positions 338 to 795 of the family's 1533-position model. The record is from RNAcentral.
CCUACGGGUGGCAGCAGUGAGGAAUAUUGGUCAAUGGACGAGAGUCUGAACCAGCCAAGUCGCGUGAAGGAUGACUGCCCUAUGGGUUGUAAACUUCUUUUAUAUGGGAAUAAAACGUUCCACGUGUGGGAUUUUGUAUGUACCAUAUGAAUAAGGAUCGGCUAACUCCGGGCCAGCAGCCGCGGUAAUACGGAGGAUCCGAGCGUUAUCCGGAUUUAUUGGGUUUAAAGGGAGCGUAGGUGGAUUGUUAAGUCAGUUGUGAAAGUUUGCGGCUCAACCGUAAAAUUGCAGUUGAAACUGGCAGUCUUGAGUACAGUAGAGGUGGGCGGAAUUCGUGGUGUAGCGGUGAAAUGCUUAGAUAUCACGAAGAACUCCGAUUGCGAAGGCAGUUCACUGGACUGCAACUGACACUGAGGCUCGAAAGUGUGGGUAUCAAACAGGAUUAGAUACCCCUGUAGUC